This 473-nucleotide ribosomal RNA is filed under the name uncultured bacterium. RNAcentral describes it as "bacterial SSU rRNA". It matches the Rfam family "Bacterial small subunit ribosomal RNA", at positions 903 to 1397 of the family's 1533-position model. The record is from RNAcentral.
AAAGGAAUAGACGGGGGCCCGCACAAGCAGCGGAGCGUGUGGUUUAAUUCGACGCAACACGCAGAACCUCACCCAGACUGGACAUGGCACUGCAUGGAGCGGAAACGUUCCAGCCUUCGAGGGAGUGCCACAGAUGCUGCAUGGCUGUCGUCAGCUCGUGUCGUGAGAUGUUGGGUUCAGUCCCGCAACGAGCGCAACCCCUAUGGCUAGUUACCUGUGUCUAGCCAGACUGCCCGUAAGGGAGGAAGGCGGGGAUGACGUCAAGUCCGCAUGGCUCUUACGUCUGGGGCUACACACACGCUACAAUGGCGACCGCAAUGCGCUGCGACCUGGCAACAGGGAGCUAAUCGCCAAGGGUCGUCUCAGUGCAGAUUGGGGGCUGCAACUCGCCCCCAUGAAGGCGGAGUUGCUAGUAACCGCGUAUCAGCGAUGGCGCGGUGAAUACGUACCCGGGCCUUGUACACACCGCCCGU